This 483-nucleotide ribosomal RNA is filed under the name uncultured bacterium. RNAcentral describes it as "partial 16S ribosomal RNA". It matches the Rfam family "Bacterial small subunit ribosomal RNA", at positions 30 to 507 of the family's 1533-position model. The record is from RNAcentral.
AUUGAGCGCUAGCGGGAUGCUUUACACAUGCAAGUCGAACGGCAGCGCGGACUUCGGUCUGGCGGCGAGUGGCGAACGGGUGAGUAAUGUAUCGGAACGUGCCCAGUAGCGGGGGAUAACUACGCGAAAGCGUAGCUAAUACCGCAUACGCCCUACGGGGGAAAGCAGGGGAUCGUAAGACCUUGCACUAUUGGAGCGGCCGAUAUCGGAUAGCUAGUUGGUGAGGUAACGGCUCACCAAGGCGACGAUCCGUAGCUGGUUUGAGAGGACGACCAGCCACACUGGGACUGAGACACGGCCCAGACUCCUACGGGAGGCAGCAGUGGGGAAUUUUGGACAAUGGGGGCAACCCUGAUCCAGCCAUCCCGCGUGUGCGAUGAAGGCCUUCGGGUUGUAAAGCACUUUUGGCAGGAAAGAAACGUCGCGGGCUAAUACCCCGUGGAACUGACGGUACCUGCAGAAUAAGCACCGGCUAACUACGUG